This is a long non-coding RNA of Nematostella vectensis (starlet sea anemone), 651 nucleotides long. RefSeq lists it as uncharacterized. The record is from RefSeq and is a predicted model, not a curated record. NCBI's taxonomy places the organism in Eukaryota, Metazoa, Cnidaria, Anthozoa, Actiniaria, Edwardsiidae. The transcript is spliced from 2 exons.
UAUUUAGUAAAUUUAUUUUUCAAUCUUGUUUUCCUUUAGAAAUAAUUUCUUCCGUGCCGGCAAUCCUCCCCCCUCCCUUCUCCAAAUAAAAAAUACUUAAUUGUUCCCAGUCUCACACGCCACAACUGUAAAACUGUUCCUACAUCGCGUAUCAGCCAUGUUUGUUCUGAUGUGUUCCAACUCGAAGCUUCUGAAUCUCAAUCGUGGGAAUUCUUAUAUCAUCUUCACUCAUUUAACUAAGUUUUUGUAAACACAGGGACGUCCGAUCGACUAGAUGAAAAAUACCUCAUUUCAAUUUGUAGUUUUCACCUUGGAAAAUAAGCUUUUAUAAGAUAACUUAAGUGAGCUUGAUAAAAUCACUUGACAUGUCUUAUAUUUCAGGCGAUUCGUUGGCUGAUGACUUAGAAGAACCAUCGGUUUUAGAUCAAAUUGAAGAAUCAGAGGUUCAUCUUCCUACUAAACAUGCUACCCCUCCUCCAAAGAAAAAAAAAUAUGCAGAUGACGUACUACAAGUGCAGUAUGAGGCUCUCCAGCUUCAAAAGGAGAAUCUCCUCCUGAAAAAUCAAAAACUAACAUUGGAGGUCUUUCUUUUGAGGAAAAGUAUAACAGAGGAAUGAGGUGAGCACCCAAAAGUCUCAAUGAUUGUCAAAA